Molecule: long non-coding RNA, 909 nt
Organism: Chroicocephalus ridibundus (black-headed gull)
Lineage: Eukaryota; Metazoa; Chordata; Aves; Charadriiformes; Laridae
Exons: 3
Source: RefSeq, a predicted model, not a curated record
AAAAUAUUUUCCAUCUCUAAUUACUCUCAGCCAGGCUGUGCCACCCUUACGCAUUCGGAGCGGUGCUUUACUUCCCGACUAUCUUCAGGAUGAAGAGCCCAGAAUUUAAACCGACUGGCUUCAAUUAACACCUAGGUAGUGAAGGAAUAAAUGCAGUAUUGUACCACUGAAUAAAAGGCGAGGGUCCAUGCUGCGCGCAAGCGUAAGGCUUCCAUCCACACUGCUCGCUCCCAGGAGCGCUGCAUGGCAGGGCUGAUGCACAAUACGGAAACCACCCAGAAACAACUACUAUUGUUCACCCACUAAUGAGGAUAAAAGCAAUGCACGCAGACUCUGUACGUCUUCGUGUCAAUGGUUCACAUCAGCUUCAACACGUUAACAGCAGUUUUCCAAGAGAAAGAGUGUGUGCCGAGACCUUCAUCUGGAAAACCAUCUGCCAUGGCCAACUGCAACAAGCAGAUGACGCUCUGAAAAGGUCCAGUCCUUGUGGCCCAAGAGUGACAGGGUCCAACCCCACACCCUCCCCAAGGCUUUCGCCUUCGCCUCUUCCUCCUGCCCACCCCUCAGAAGCACCAUUUCAUUGAAGUCAUGCUGCCACGGCCCUGGUUGUACCACGUCUGUCCAAGAGACAGGGCUUGGUGGAAAUGUAACUUAGGUCCAUCCCUUACUAUCAUCUCUAGUGGACCUUUCACAGGGUUGAGGGAAGACCCAGCUAGUCCCAGUUGCAGACCCAUCAGCCUUUUUGCGUAAGAAGCCCUGUGGCAAGGCACGCGAUGGCUGCUGGGAGGUGGAGGAGGACAUUACACAAUGCCACAUACCACGCUGUGUCUAACACACGGCAUCCCUUCCAGCAGACCCAGCUGAACACAGGCCAGCUCUCCAGAGCCUCCCGCUGCAGACCAGUUUCAG